Molecule: transfer RNA, 71 nt
Filed under: Trichonephila inaurata madagascariensis
Lineage: Eukaryota; Metazoa; Arthropoda; Arachnida; Araneae; Nephilidae
Rfam family: tRNA
About the family: Transfer RNA (tRNA) molecules are approximately 80 nucleotides in length. Their secondary structure includes four short double-helical elements and three loops (D, anti-codon, and T loops).
Source: Rfam by way of RNAcentral
GGCCCGUUAGCUCAGCUGUUUAGAGCGUCGUGCUAAUAACGCGAAGGUUGGUUCGAUCCCCUCACGGGCCA